AGAUUGAACGCUGGCGGCAGGCCUAACACAUGCAAGUCGAGCGGCAGCACGGGUACUUGUACCUGGUGGCGAGCGGCGGACGGGUGAGUAAUGCCUAGGAAUCUGCCUGAUAGUGGGGGAUAACGCUCGGAAACGGACGCUAAUACCGCAUACGUCCUACGGGAGAAAGCAGGGGACCUUCGGGCCUUGCGCUAUCAGAUGAGCCUAGGUCGGAUUAGCUAGUUGGUAGGGGUAAUGGCUCACCGAAGGCGACGAUCCGUAACUGGUC
This 268-nucleotide ribosomal RNA is filed under the name uncultured soil bacterium. RNAcentral's name for it is "partial 16S ribosomal RNA". It matches the Rfam family "Bacterial small subunit ribosomal RNA", at positions 26 to 292 of the family's 1533-position model. The record is from RNAcentral.